ACUGCCUGAUGCUUUUCAAAUGUGUCUGAAUCAGAAUCGAACACCCACUUUAUGCAUAGCUCCCUAAUCAGGAAGUUAUUCUUCCCAUCAAAGCAACUGGAAAAAAAAAAAGAUAAAACAAUGAAGGGAGGAGAAAACACAAAAGUUCAAGAAGAGCAGAAUGUUCCGGCAAGGAGAAAAAGCUGGGAAAAGUCACCAAUGAAUGACAGGGUUCACCACCAUCUUAGGAAUAUCAUGAAUAAAGCGUUAGAUUGGGUGUGCCCUAACUGAUGGUCACAAGCAUGAUACUAAUUAUCAGGGUGAACAAAGCAGGGGAGUAAGAGCAUCAGUAACUGUGAAACUCCAGGAGUUUGUCUUCAUUGUUUCAGUGAUAGAAUAUCUAGCAUUUGUAUUUCGUUCAUCAUACACUUGAGUUAAUAUCUGUGGAAAGGAUAAAUACAUAAGGAAAAGAGAUGCAGGAAACUGCAGAGAUACUGGCCGUUUAUCUGAGAAGUGCCCAAUGAGGCAUCACCGGAUAAGCACACGUCGGGUCAUUCUCCUGCUUCAGUCUGUGGCGCUGACAUUAUCAAUGCUAUGGAUGCCUCAAGGCUCUGAUAAAAAUACCUGGCUUCAGCAAUAAGCAUGCAGUUAUCUCAGUUUAAAGGAAACGUGUUCUGCUCCCUGCUUAGUAAGAAAUGCUGCUUACUUCUCCAGCUUUUGAAGCACAGGUUUUAUGUUUGUUUGUUUGGGAUAGAAUCUCACUCUGUCACCCAGGCCAGAGAGCACUGACAUUGUCAUGGCUCCCUGCACUCUCAAACUCCCAAGCUCAAGCAAUCCUCCCACCUCAGCCUCCCAAGUAGCUGGGACUACAG
This 851-nucleotide non-coding RNA is filed under the name Pongo abelii (Sumatran orangutan). The record is from RNAcentral. Lineage: Eukaryota; Metazoa; Chordata; Mammalia; Primates; Hominidae.